CAAAUAAAAAAAGUUCAAACAGCAAAAAAUAGAGUGGAGUUUAUUAUUUCCCCCUUAAUUUCUUGCUUGGUACUAUUUAGAAAAAGACUUGGUGGUUGGUAUCCGAGGCCCAAGUUCGAAUCCUAAUUGAUUCACAUUUUCAGUUAAAUUUAUUUCUAAAUGAAAUAAACGAAGCGAGUAAUGUCCUACCUAUCUCUCUCAAAAAAAAAAAAGAAGUAAUAUUUAGAAAAGGGGGUAAAUGAUCGAUUAUUUUCACUUUUGACAGUAGGCAAACAAAAUAUUCGUGAGGGUCAUUAGAAUAAAAUAGGACAAUAUAUUGACUGUAACAAUCAUGUAGCAUGACUCCUUAGCAAUAUUCAAAUUUUGUGACUAAUGGACUGAGAAUAUAGACAUAAAUAAGUGAAAUUUUAACGCACACUUCUGAUAUGGCGAGAGAUACAGCGUACGUAUUUAUCUCUGAGAUAUGCUAUAUAUAUGAGAUAUGCUAUAUAUAAUAUAAACAACAAUCAAAAUAAAUAUGAGAUAUGUAUAUGUGCGCGAUCAUUUACAAUAUAUAAACAAUCAAAAUAAAUAUGAGAUAUGUAUAUGUACACAGUCAUUUACAAAAUUUGAGACGCAAUAUACCAACUAUUAAAUGCCUAAAUAUCAUAUGCCUGAACUUUCAAUUAUUUCUGUUGCCUGUUCAUAGAUAGGAUCAAUAGGACUUGGAGCAUAGAUGUUAAUUAAGAUAAAUCUUACAUGAACACGCGCGCUAUAGUGCAAUACCAUUUCAAGAAUACGCUCUAGUAUCAUUUUAUGAAUGGAAGGUUGAGCAUGGACAUGGACAAGCUACACAUGAAUUUAAGAUGCCGCACUAUAUAUGUUGUUGUUAUGAUGACAAUUUUCAAAUUAAUUAUUGGGGCCUUAUAAUUAACAAAGAAAAUUUGGGCCCCUAUGUUAAUAUUUUUUUUAGAAACUCAAGGAUUGCCCUUUACAAAUUUAUCUUAUUUGACGUGUUAAAAGAAUAAUUAAGUAAACAACUUAGAUAAUUAUACAUGCGAGUUAUUUUUUCUGCACCGUGGUAUCUUUAAUUUUAAAACAAUGAGACUACAGAAUCUUUUGUACUUAUGUGUAUUAAUGUGAUGAUCACGAAUUAUCUACUUCGAAGUAAGAUCCGAAAUAUUACACCCAUUACUAGUCAGGUUACUAAUAAUUCAACAAUUCUGCAUUUAUUUGAUGGGUUCUCUUUCAUAUAGCAAGUUUGUAGAAGCUAGUAAAAUGCAAACUAACUUUUGUGAAUGCAAAUUAGUUCUCCUCGUGUGCAGUUAGAAUACAAAUAAAAGAGCUAGACUGGUAUACUAUCGGUAGCACAGAGGCUUCCGUGCUACCAAGUUGUUUUCAAUGAUGCGGCUUUAAAAUUGAUGAUCGGCUCUGUUAGACUUCAUCUAUACUAUUAAAAAUAUUUGGAAACUAAAUUUCAUAAUUAUUCGACAUCAUUUGGCUAGUGAUUAAAACGUCUCAAAAUUGAUAAUUUUAAUAGUAGAUGUGAGCCUUUUGUAAAUUUAACGGUGUAAAACAAUCCAAAGCAGAUAAAAUUUUUAUAAAAAAUUCUUUUUACUAUUUAGAGUAAGAUUAGUAUCUCUGAUCUUAAAUUCAAGUUUUCUAUCAUCAUUUUUUUAUGAGAUUUUUAUUUUUAGCCGUUCAUUUUUAGACUACUCGUUCGAUAGGUAAAUGAUACCGAAAAAUUAUGAAAUUUAGUUUCCAAAAACUUUCAAUAGUGUAGAUUAAGUUUAACGGAGUUGAUCGUCGAUUUGGGAGCGGUAUCAUUGAAAACAACUUGGUAGCAUAGAGGCCUCCGUGCUACUGAUAGUAUAUCAGCGUAGCUCCAAAUAAAAUAUUAUAAAAUAUAUAUUUAUUGUAGUUGAUUGAAUUAAAG
Molecule: long non-coding RNA, 1915 nt
Filed under: Ananas comosus (pineapple)
Lineage: Eukaryota; Viridiplantae; Streptophyta; Magnoliopsida; Poales; Bromeliaceae
Description: long non-coding RNA (ACOM_LNC006445)
Source: RNAcentral